UCACCUAUUGCAUAGUAAAAUGAACUUUUUAAGGGGCGAGAUAGAUAAGAAAAAAUCAUAGCACUGCCAUCCUCACUCAUUCAAGCACCAAAGCAAGUGUUAAUACCUAAAGAAUAGUUUCGAAAUUAAAGAAUCCAUACAUAUUCCAUUCGAACACCAAAGGAUUAAUACCGAAACAGCCCCAAUUCAAAAAUAUACAUGAACGAUUAACCACUGAUGAUAACUAAAUACACCCAGCAGUUCUCUUUAAGGAGGAAAAUUUAAAAUCGCGAGUGUACUGAUCUAGACUCGGGAUUUUAAUCCCAAAAAAAUCCAACAAUCCAUUUAUCUGGAAACCAAGUAGACCUACUGUUUUGUUGCCUUUGAUCAAUCUACAGCCUCACGCAUAUAAUCUUAAUUCAAGUACUUCAAUUUCUAAAGAUUCAGAUAACAAGACCUCCAAAUCAGGGGUGCAUCCACCUGGGUAUUUCACCUAUUACACUUGAGGGGAGACUAGUUUUAAGGGCAAGGAGAAAACCAUGAACAACCACAUCAAAAUCACUGUUGCUACCAUCAAGAAACAACAAUUUUGGAACAAAUAAAUUUUAAGGAGUUGAGUUGAAGUUAAACCAUUCAAUGCAAUCCGAUCGAGUGAGAUUUCAACUUAUAAAGCCCGUUUUUAAACUAAUAAAAUCCGAUACUACCUUCCAAGCUCAGUGGUGAAGAUGUCGAGUAGAAAUCACUGCAACACAAGGUAAAUUGGUGCCAAAGGGGUGAUGAAUUGUCUCCCUUUCGGCCUCUCCUUCAGGCCCAAUUUUUGUGUAAUACCGAAGGAAGAAACCCUUGAGAAAAAUUAGACAAAUCCAAUAUUUUAUAUUUAUUACCUUUACUUUUGACGAACCAGCUAAAAUAAUUAUUAAGCCCUGUUUGGUGGCCUUAAAAAUUUUAAAAAUAGUUUUGUAUAUGGUAUUUUUUGAAAAAUAUGUGAAUGAAAAUGAUGAAAAUUUUGUCGACUGGUGGUUGAUAAUAAUUUUAAAGCAAAAUAAAUUAAAGGUUGUCAAAUAAGGGCUAAAUAUUUAGAAAAUUUAAUCACUUCAAAAAAUUAAAAUUUUAUUUUGCUCAUGUUUGAUAACAAUUUUUCACCCCAAAAAAUCAAUUUUUGAUCGUUAUUUCAGUUGUCAUUUUUCACUUCUUCACUCACAGGUGGAACCUACUUUUCUCUCUAACAAUUAAAAAAUCAAUUCUCAUAAUCACUACCAAACAUUCCCUUUAAUCUUGGUUCUUUUACGUUUCUGGAAAUGUUCCCAAAAUUACGUUAUUUUAGAUGAUUUAUUUUCUUCUUUAUCGCAACCUAACAUAAAGGAAGAGCGAUUCGAUCAUUGAAGUACUGCGGGAAAAUGAUAUUUAAUAAAAUGAUUCAAAUUGUCGCCUCAUAUACAGAUGCUUGAGAAUAUUUACACUUCUUAAUAGGAAUAUAGCACUUCGAUUGUGACAUGACCGAAAAUAUGCAAAAACAAUGAACACUUGCACUCAAGUAUGUGAAAUUGUAAUGGAGAAAAAAUGGGUCUCAAAGAUCAAUGUAAAUGGGAAACCCUGUGAAUGCAAAAGCAUUCAAAUAAUUUAAGAUCUUUGCUGUAACAAAUAUAAGUUUCACAAUCAUUACAAAGAGAAAAAUGUGCUAGAACAAGCCAGCUGAUGCUGCUAUUCUUCAAUACAUUACAGCAUUCGACGGGCCAAUGACUCGAUCUACAGUGAAUGCUCAUCGUCUUCCAGUGCAUUAUAAAUCAUCCUACACCGAAGAAAAUGGUUAUUGAGACAGUUCGAAAACAGAGGUUAACUCUAAUUGUUGUAAUCGAAGAGAUUGCAGCUAUUCACUCACCAAAACAAGGACAUGAAGAGAAGAAGUAUCACGUAGCCCAGUUUGAAAAGGCGCUGCUUCUUUUCCCAAUUGAGCAAGUUGAAUAUCUCGGUCACAUCUACAAGGUGCUGUCUUCGCAUAUACCUGAUUCAAAGAGAGUGGCUAGAUUUGUUAUCUAGAACUGUCAUAAAAAAAUAAAAAAGAGCUUAUCUAACUAACCAAUGAACAAAUGGCAAAGCCAAAAUUUUUCGCACUAAAGCAACAUUUUUCUCAUUUGCUGCAACAGUAUGUUAGCAAUUAUCAAUAUCCUAUAUGUUUUAGCACAGUUCCACGCACAAAGAACGAACUGAUGAUAUAACUGUGUAAACAGAAGAAAAUCCAAAAAUAUUGGACAUAUUGAAAAUUAGCACUUUAAAAUUCUACCAGGUGAAUAUGUUAAUGUAAUUAAAAGACUCAAAAAUGCAUAACUGUGCACAGUUGUUCCAAGAAUAUCGCAAUCUACUGACAAAUAAUCUCCCAAUCUAUUUAUAAAUUUACUAAAUUUGCCAAUCACUCGAACAUUGAUUGCAAAAAAGUUAUGGUGAAAUUAUAACUACAAUCCAAUUCAACUCUAUAAAGCACUAACAUUCAGAUCAAUCCUGAUAUAACAUCAACGCCAACUAGCAUAAGCCAUAGAUUAUCUAUACUACCAGUAUAGCUGAUUGGGUGUCCUUGACUGACUUUCAAGAUCAAACAUCAUCUUUCCCCCCAUUUUAUUAUAUUUUCGUUCUAUCUACUCUAUAAUCCUGUUCCACUUGUAGAUUAUAAACCAACAAUCGACUUGUACCAUGAACCAAUAGCCAUAUGCAAGCAGCAGGUUAGAUGUUUUAUAGAAUCUUACAAGGCAUUAAUAUAACCAUGGCCAAUGGGAUACCUAAACUGCUCAAGACUGUUCUGUAACUUCCACUAGUGCUCCAAAGUUAAACUGUCACACUUCAACAGUAAUGUUGCAAGUAUAAUUACUCCUGGGUCCAGACUAUAUCGUGUGAAAAAUUGUCUGGGGGAAUAUCUUGGAUCAGUAUAAAUAAAAUGCAGAAUGUGUCAACAUCGUGGUGUCAAAUAGCCCCAUUGAACUUACCUCCGAUUUGAUUUGCAACUCAACUAAUUUUCCAAUCAUUGCGAUUCACACCAGUUCGGACGAAUUAAGAUAAAAAAGGGUUCUCCUAAUAUAUAUCUAAAUUGCAACAAAUCCUUUUAGCACAUGAACCAAACCCAAUUUUACGAGUCGUCAAAUCCGUCUAUUUUCUUACCUGCUCUAGAACUUUCAUACUCAGACCAAAAAUCAACAAUUAUGUGGGCAAAAAAAAUUCUGACUCAUUUAUAAAUAGAUCGUGCCAUAGGUAUGUCACUGUAUAAGAAAGAUAAAGCAUAUCCUAUUAGAUGAUAGCUAUUGACAGAAAGCACGAAGUGGAUGCUCUGCGAUAUCAUGAAUUUCACACUAAACGUGGUUAGACUGAUGACAGUGUGUACUUAAUCAGUCAGAUUCAACAAACACGGUAAUGCUGGUACAAAAUCCAGAAAACAACAUUAAUUAGUAAAAUACAUUUGAAGACUGUCUUGUUUCAAAAUCUGCUAUCUGUUUCAACUAUUUUGAUUUCAAGUACAGUGUAGAAAUAGAGGAAAAACGGCAAAAUUCUUGAGUUGGGAAGACCAACUUAAGAGUUGGUUAACAGAGGCUCAACAUAUCAUUCAUAUAUAUCAUAUGUGGUGCAGCUAAUCCACACUCGCUAUCAAAAAGCAAGUGCAACGGAGUCGAGGAUCAUUUUGGAAAUGACGCCUCAACAUGUGUCUUCCCAACAGAAAAAAUGAAGAGGGUUUUGUGGAAGUCCCAUUUUUUGUGAGGGUAGGGGUCGCAGAAAUUGAAAAUCAAAUGCCACAAUAGUUGGAAAAUUAACACAAUAAAGAAUUUUGUCACCAAAUAGUAAUUUACCAUGAAAUGUACAAUCCUCUGAUGGCAUUCACCAUGAUGUAUUGUAUCUUUAAGCUGCAACAUAGAAAAAAACCAUUAGAGAGGAUUCAUUUCACUUCUCAAACUGAACUUCAACAAUAAGCCAACAUUUGAUCACCUAUUGCAUAGUAAAAUGAACUUUUUAAGGGGUGAGAUAGAUAAGAAAAAACCAUAGCACUGCCAUCCUCACUCAUUCAAGCACCAAAGCAAGUGUUAAUACCUAAAGAAUAGUUUCGAAAUUAAAGAAUCCAUACAUAUUCCAUUCGAACACCAAAGGAUUAAUACCGAAACAGCCCCAAUUCAAAAAUAUACAUGAACGAUUAACCACUGAUGAUAACUAAAUACACCCAGCAGUUCUCUUUAAGGAGGAAAAUUUAAAAUCGCGAGUGUACUGAUCUAGACUCAGGAUUUUAAUCCCAAAAAAAUCCAACAAUCCAUUUAUCUGGAAACCAAGUAGACCUACUGUUUUGUUGCCUUUGAUCAAUCUAGAGUCUCACGCAUAUAAUCUUAAUUCAAGUACUUCAAUUUCUAAAGAUUCGGUUAACAAGACCUCCAAAUCAGGGGUGCAUCCACCUGGGUAUUUCACCUAUUACACUUGAGGGGAGACUAGUUUUAAGGGGAAGGAGAAAACCAUAAACAACCACAUCAAAAUCACUGUUGCUACCAUCAAGAAACAACAAUUUUGGAACAAAUAAAUUUUAAGGAGUUGAGUUGAAGUUAAACCAUUCAAUGCAAUCCGAUCGAGUGAGAUUUCAACUUAUAAAGCCCGUUUUUAAACUAACAAAAUCCGAUACUACCUUCCAAGCUCAGUGGUGAAGAUGUCGAGUAGAAAUCACUGCAACACAAGGUAAAUUGGUGCCAAAGGGGUGAUGAAUUGUCUCCCUUUCGGCCUCUCCUUCAGGCCCAAUUUUGUGUAAUACCGAAGGAAGAAACCCUUGAGAAAA
This 4768-nucleotide long non-coding RNA is filed under the name Olea europaea (common olive). RNAcentral describes it as "long non-coding RNA (OEUR_LNC002752)". The record is from RNAcentral. Lineage: Eukaryota; Viridiplantae; Streptophyta; Magnoliopsida; Lamiales; Oleaceae.